AUGCGAGCGUUAUCCGGAGUUAUUGGGUUUAAAGGGAGCGUAGGUGGGAUAUUAAGUCAGCUGUGAAAGUUUGGGGCUCAACCUUAAAAUUGCAGUUGAUACUGGUUUUCUUGAGUACGGUAUAGGUGGGCGGAAUUCGUGGUGUAGCGGUGAAAUGCUUAGAUAUCACGAAGAACUCCUAUUGCGAAGGCAGCUCACUGGACCGGCACUGACACUGAUGCUCGAAAGUGCGGGUAUC
This 238-nucleotide ribosomal RNA is filed under the name uncultured bacterium. Its description in RNAcentral is "partial 16S ribosomal RNA". It matches the Rfam family "Bacterial small subunit ribosomal RNA", at positions 532 to 769 of the family's 1533-position model. The record is from RNAcentral.